UCCUUGCCGUGUUUCCGAAUGAACUCAUCUAUUCCCUGCCUCCACCACUGGGCAUGCCUGUAGCUGGUGCACUUCAAAAUCAGUGACCUAGAGAGAUUGUCUAUCUGCAAGCCGUACUUUGUUUCUGUUUCUUUCUGGCCUAUCUUGAUGCUGAAUUCCUUAUCCACCAGCAGGACGAAGGAAAUGGCCCCUGAGUCUGGCUUCAUGUAGAGCAGGAAGGAGUCCUUC
Molecule: long non-coding RNA, 228 nt
Filed under: Gallus gallus (chicken)
Lineage: Eukaryota; Metazoa; Chordata; Aves; Galliformes; Phasianidae
Source: RNAcentral